UAGACUUAACGAAAUAUUUUGUCAAAUGUGACAGAAUAUUCCCCUGGGAUCUGUUAGCACCUGCAGGCGCAUGACCUGCACAUGGUCGCACAUGUGGCCGCGAGCUGGAGGUGUGUGAGGGCGCGUGCUGCUUUGUGCCAACGCAUGGUCGACAUGCAUGGGUCCGUGACAUCGCGUAGAAUGUUUUCGUAUAUUUAAACCCUCCGUUUGAGUAAACUAUGAAGGAUUUUCCUAGCCUUUUCAU
Molecule: long non-coding RNA, 244 nt
Filed under: Malus domestica (apple)
Lineage: Eukaryota; Viridiplantae; Streptophyta; Magnoliopsida; Rosales; Rosaceae
Description: long non-coding RNA (MDOM_LNC019925)
Source: RNAcentral